This 76-nucleotide transfer RNA is filed under the name Candidatus Woesearchaeota archaeon. Its description in RNAcentral is "tRNA-Ile". It matches the Rfam family "tRNA". From Rfam's summary of the family: Transfer RNA (tRNA) molecules are approximately 80 nucleotides in length. Their secondary structure includes four short double-helical elements and three loops (D, anti-codon, and T loops). The record is from RNAcentral. Lineage: Archaea; Nanobdellati; Candidatus Woesearchaeota.
GGGCCUUUAACUUAGCCAGGACCAAAGUGCCAGUCUUAUAAGCUGGAAAUCCCGGGUUCAAAUCCCGGAAGGCCCA